GCGAGCGUAAUUUAGUGGUAGAAUUCUUGCUUCCCAAGCAAGGAGUGCGGGUUCGAUUCCCGCCGCUCGCA
RNAcentral lists this transfer RNA (71 nucleotides) under bacterium. RNAcentral's name for it is "tRNA-Gly". It matches the Rfam family "tRNA". From Rfam's summary of the family: Transfer RNA (tRNA) molecules are approximately 80 nucleotides in length. Their secondary structure includes four short double-helical elements and three loops (D, anti-codon, and T loops). The record is from RNAcentral. RNAcentral also lists the same sequence under 1 other name.